Molecule: long non-coding RNA, 1012 nt
Filed under: Monodelphis domestica (gray short-tailed opossum)
Lineage: Eukaryota; Metazoa; Chordata; Mammalia; Didelphimorphia; Didelphidae
Description: lncRNA (ENSMODG00000034523.2)
Source: RNAcentral
GACCCGCUGUUGGGCGCUAGUUGCCCGGCUCCCCACUUCCGUACUGAGCGCCCCAGCGGCCCGCAGGCGGAGUGGGCGGAGAGGUAGCGGGGGCGGGGGCGGCGCACCAGUCCGCCCCGUGACGCGCCCGGGCUCGGGCGGCGAGUUCCCACCCCCUUCCCCGGCGCAGUCCGCCUGCCCGGAGGCGCCAAACUGUGUGUAGACAGGAGGAGAACGCAGCACCGGGGGACUUCCUGCAGCCCCUUAGGAGGGCGCGCCCCAGGGAGCCGAGGAUAGUCCAGCCGCGAGUGCCAUCCCGCCCCGACGAGGAGAUAGCGCACACCUGGCGGGGCACCUGCGCGGCUCUCCGAGCUCCCAGCUCCUUGCCCGGGACGCCGAGGACGCUGCAGGCGCCCCAGCGAGCCCGGCGGGCAGAAGAGGCUUGGCUGGAGGGCGGGUGCGGGGCGCAGUCCCUCGGGAUCUAGGUAACCCAGUGACGGGGGUCGGAGUGUGCUUACCGGGCGCUUGCUCAUCGCCACCCGACGGAGCGGGACCUGCUGCUCCAGCGACAGGCGCUUUAGGAUCUGGGGGACUCCCCUCGGUCCGCCCCAGCCUCAGUUUACCCAAGCGGCCCCUUCUAGCUAGCAACUGCCCUAACAGGGAGGUCUCGGGCCACUUACAUUCCUUGCAGCCGUCUGUCCCCUGGACCGAGGGGACGAGGUGUGAAACUGCGGAGUGCGUCUCGGGGAUUGGAACCCUGGCCCGACCUCUACGCCCUCGCGGUGAGAUCGAACCUCCCGCACUCUCGCCACGGGAUCGGAUGCGCUCUAGACUCCUCUCUCACCGAGCCAGCUGUUCACCAAACAGCUACCCUUGGAUAUGAAAGAUGAAGUCACCAAUUCUCUUGGCUCUUGUUAUCUAUUCUGUAGUGAGCACAAACCUGAAGUUGGUCUCAAAGAGGAAUUCUGGUAAGUUGCUCAGUAUUUGUCUAGGGGAUGCUGUUUAAGCAGUCUCUCUAAUUACAAGUGUCUAU